GGGGAAAAACUCGCAUCAAACAUCUACUUAUCCUUUCGACUAAAAUUGAUGUGUAACUACAUGUCGCGACUAACAAUUGUGUGAAAAUAUUUUGUCGAUAUCUUAUAAGAUUUCUGAAAAUGAGAGAUAACAAGCCAAAAUCAAAAUUUUGAACAUGACCUUGACCUUUGACCUUGACCUCAUUUUCAUUUUUUUGAACCAAGGACCUCAAAUCAAAAGACCCUAGGUUUCUUAUCACUUAUGGUUUACCAGUUAGAAAUGCAUAUUCUUAUAUCAAACAUAAAAGGGAGGAAAACUCUCAUACGGAAUCUAUAUACGGCUUCGGUCAAAAUAAAACAGAACAUCCUGAGGAUAUAACGA
RNAcentral lists this long non-coding RNA (360 nucleotides) under Mytilus galloprovincialis (Mediterranean mussel). Lineage: Eukaryota; Metazoa; Mollusca; Bivalvia; Mytilida; Mytilidae. The record is from RNAcentral.